This 464-nucleotide long non-coding RNA is filed under the name Pan troglodytes (chimpanzee). RNAcentral describes it as "lincRNA". The record is from RNAcentral. Lineage: Eukaryota; Metazoa; Chordata; Mammalia; Primates; Hominidae.
AAUUGUCCUUGACUGCAUGGUUUCUGCUGGUCCAAGCAACUUUCUCCUGCCACGCCUAACCUUGGAGAGCAGGUACCCAAGCAAGCCACUCCUCAGGCAUUUUCCCCACAACUAGAAAUCCAGAGGCUUUGGAUCUUGAGAAGAACAUGAAGGAAAGAUGCCAGGAAGUACAGUCUGGUCUGCUGAUGAUGAUCAAUGGAGGAAGUGUUUCAUGGUGGACAUGGGAAACUGGCCAGAUCAACUGCUGUCACCUUCUAAGACCCAGACGGGGAGGAGGAAUGCCAGAGAAGCUGCAGACUCCCCGGACAUGGAGCCUGAGUGGAGCAGAGGUGGCCCACUGUCAGCCACAGGUCAAGUGUCAGGGUGGGGACGGGGCAGGCUCCACCAGAAGGUGGGGCCAGACCACAGGGCAAGGUGGAGAUGAGUCUGUGGCACCCCCAGGAAGUUUACCAGAUUUGCCCCAG